This 253-nucleotide ribosomal RNA is filed under the name uncultured bacterium. RNAcentral's name for it is "partial 16S ribosomal RNA". It matches the Rfam family "Bacterial small subunit ribosomal RNA", at positions 524 to 776 of the family's 1533-position model. The record is from RNAcentral.
UACGGAGGGUGCGAGCGUUACCCGGAUUUACUGGGUGUAAAGGGCGUGUAGGCGGUCUCUCAAGUCCGAUGCUAAAGACAGAGGCUCAACCUCGGGAGUGCGUUGGAUACUGUGAGGCUAGACGGUCGGAGAGGGCAGCGGAAUUCUAGGAGUAGCGGUGAAAUGCGCAGAUACCGAGAGGAACGCCAAUAGCGAAGGCAGCUGCCUGGAGGAUUUGUGACGCUGAGGCGAGAAAGCGUGGGGAGCAAACCGG